GACGAACGCUGGCGGCGUGCUUAACACAUGCAAGUCGAACGGAAAGGCCCUGCUUUUGUGGGGUGCUCGAGUGGCGAACGGGUGAGUAACACGUGAGUAACCUGCCCUUGACUUUGGGAUAACUUCAGGAAACUGGGGCUAAUACCGGAUAGGAGCUCCUGCUGCAUGGUGGGGGUUGGAAAGUUUCGGCGGUUGGGGAUGGACUCGCGGCUUAUCAGCUUGUUGGUGGGGUAGUGGCUUACCAAGGCUUUGACGGGUAGCCGGCCUGAGAGGGUGACCGGCCACAUGGGGACUGAGAGACGGCCCAGACGCCUACGGGAGGCAGCAGUGGAGAGUAUUGCACAAUGGGCGGGAGCCUGAUGCAGCAACGCCGCGUGCGGGAUGACGGCCUUCGGGUUGUGAACCGCUUUCGCCUGUGACGAAGCGUGAGUGACGGUAAUGGGUAAAGAAGCACCGGCUAACUACGUG
Molecule: ribosomal RNA, 468 nt
Filed under: uncultured bacterium
Lineage: Bacteria
Description: partial 16S ribosomal RNA
Rfam family: Bacterial small subunit ribosomal RNA
Source: RNAcentral